CUUAAAGGAAUUGACGGGGAGCACCACAACAGGUGGAGCCUGCGGUUAAUCGGACUCAACGCCGGGAAACUCACCAGAUAAGACAGCUGAAUGAUAGUCGGGCUGAAGACUCUACUUGACUAGCUGAGAGGAGGUGCAUGGCCGUCGUCAGUUCGUACUGUGAAGCAUCCUGUUAAGUCAGGCAACGAGCGAGACCCACGCCAACAGUUGCCAGCUCGUCCUCCGGGAUGGUGGGGACACUGUUGGGACCGCCUCUGCUAAAGAGGAGGAAGGAAUGGGCAACGGUAGGUCAGCAUGCCCCGAAUUAUCUGGGCUACACGCGGGCUACAAUGGGUGGGACAAUGGGUAUCGACACCGAAAGGUGAAGGCAAUCUCCUAAACCCAUCCGUAGUUCGGAUUGAGGGCUGCAACUCGCCCUCAUGAAGCUGGAAUCCGUAGUAAUCGCGUUUCAACAGAACGCGGUGAAUACGUCCCUGCUCCUU
Molecule: ribosomal RNA, 482 nt
Filed under: uncultured Methanomicrobiales archaeon
Lineage: Archaea; Methanobacteriati; Methanobacteriota; Methanomicrobia; Methanomicrobiales
Description: bacterial SSU rRNA
Rfam family: Archaeal small subunit ribosomal RNA
Source: RNAcentral